Molecule: non-coding RNA, 428 nt
Filed under: Saccharomyces cerevisiae YJM1447
Lineage: Eukaryota; Fungi; Ascomycota; Saccharomycetes; Saccharomycetales; Saccharomycetaceae
Source: RNAcentral
AGAUAUUUAUAUUAUUAAUAGGAAAGUCAUAAAUAUAUAAAUUAUAUUAUAUAAUUAAUAUAAUAAUAAAAUAAAUUAUAUAUUUUAUUUAUAAUAUUAUUUCUUUAUAAGAUAAAUAUUAUCUAAUUAAUAAUUAGAUUGAAUAAUAUUUAUAAAGAAAUAUAUAUAUAUAAAAAAAGUCAUUAUAUAAAUUUAAUUAUAAUUUAAAUAAAUUUUAUAUAAAUUAAUAUAAUAUUAAUAAAGUAAUUAGUAUAAAUAAAUAAUAUGAAAAUAAAACUUAAUAAAUAUAUAAAUAUAGUCCGGCCCGCCCCGCGGGGCGGACCCCGAAGGAGUCCAUAUAUAUAUAUUAAUAAAAAGUAAUAUAUAUAUAUAUAUUGGAAUAGUUAUAUUAUUAUACAGAAAUAUGCUUAAUUAUAAUAUAAUAUCCA